RNAcentral lists this small nuclear RNA (106 nucleotides) under Salvator merianae (Argentine black and white tegu). Lineage: Eukaryota; Metazoa; Chordata; Lepidosauria; Squamata; Teiidae. The record is from RNAcentral.
GUGCUUGCUUCAACAGCACAUAUACUAAAAUUGAAAGAUAUAGAGAAAAUUAGCAUCGCCCCUGUGCAAGGAUGGUAUGCAAAUUUGUGAAGCAUUCCACAUAUAU